This is a non-coding RNA of Pelobates cultripes (western spadefoot toad), 339 nucleotides long. The record is from the annotation of a GenBank genome assembly. NCBI's taxonomy places the organism in Eukaryota, Metazoa, Chordata, Amphibia, Anura, Pelobatidae.
GUAGGAUUACAGGAGAACGUAAACUUAUGUCUAAUUCAAGUGGAUAUCUCUAUAUUAUUGGAGGACUACUAACCUUAAGUAUAUCUUUCAUGUACUAAUCUACAAUCUCAUUUAAUAAUGAACUUAUUCUUGCUUACUCAAAUCUUCACUGCUUCAAGCUACUAAUUAUCUGGAGGACAACUCCCAUCAUGCUUAUUAACUAUGAACUGUUCUUGCUUUGCAACUAUUCUCAGCUACUUGCUUAACAUUACUAUUGAAGAUUAUUCUCAUUAACCAAAGAAUGUUACUUAAUGCUUCUCUGAAGAAAUACUUAUUAAUGAACUUUGUGUUGUUGAUUAC